RNAcentral lists this transfer RNA (93 nucleotides) under Micromonospora parathelypteridis. Its description in RNAcentral is "tRNA-Ala". The record is from RNAcentral. Lineage: Bacteria; Bacillati; Actinomycetota; Actinomycetes; Micromonosporales; Micromonosporaceae.
GACCCGGAGGCCCGCAAACGGCGCGAGGCGGUGCUCGCGGUGCCGCGCCGGUUGACCGGUAUCGGCGCGGCGUUCGACGCGGCGUCCGCGCUG